This 335-nucleotide ribosomal RNA is filed under the name Encrasicholina sp. S01. RNAcentral's name for it is "partial 12S ribosomal RNA". It matches the Rfam family "Bacterial small subunit ribosomal RNA", at positions 855 to 1359 of the family's 1533-position model. The record is from RNAcentral. Lineage: Eukaryota; Metazoa; Chordata; Actinopteri; Clupeiformes; Engraulidae.
GUACAAUAAGCAUCCGCCAGGGAACUACGAGCACCAGCUUAAAACCCAAAGGACUUGGCGGUGCCUCAGACCCUCCUAGAGGAGCCUGUUCUAGAACCGAUAACCCCCGUUCAACCUCACCAUCCCUUGCCUUUUCCGCCUAUAUACCACCGUCGCCAGCUUACCCUGUGAAGGUGAAAGUAAGCAAAAUGGAGAACCUCCAGAACGUCAGGUCGAGGUGUAGCAUACGAGAUGGGAAGAAAUGGGCUACAUUGCCUAGCAUAGACUACUACGAAGAGUCGCCUGAAAGGGCUAUUUGAAGGUGGAUUUAGCAGUAAAAGGGGAAUAGAGUGCCC